CAGCAGCCGCGGGAAUACGUAGGGUGCGAGCGUUAAUCGGAAUUACUGGGCGUAAAGCGUGCGCAGGCGGUUGUGUAAGACAGGUGUGAAAUCCCCGGGCUUAACCUGGGAACUGCGCUUGUGACUGCACAGCUAGAGUAUGGCAGAGGGGGGUGGAAUUCCACGUGUAGCAGUGAAAUGCGUAGAUAUGCGGAGGAACACCGAUGGCGAAGGCAAUCCCCUGGACCUGUACUGACGCUCAUGCACGAAAGCGUGGGGGGCAAACAGGAUUAGAUACCCCUGUAGUCCCUGUCUCUUAUAC
Molecule: ribosomal RNA, 301 nt
Filed under: uncultured bacterium
Lineage: Bacteria
Description: partial 16S ribosomal RNA
Rfam family: Bacterial small subunit ribosomal RNA
Source: RNAcentral